Molecule: long non-coding RNA, 773 nt
Filed under: Homo sapiens (human)
Lineage: Eukaryota; Metazoa; Chordata; Mammalia; Primates; Hominidae
Description: HSALNT0203888
Source: RNAcentral
CCGAGGGGGAAAAGCAAACGUGUAGGCAGCAGGAGUUGAGAGAUGGGAUCCAGACAAGGGCCUUCAGAUAUAUAAAUAUCCCUUUCUGAGACUGACGGGAACUUGGACAGGGCCGAAGAGUGACCGAGGCAUGCGGGAGAGAAGGGGCGCCUGGACUUUUGGAAGGAUAAACAUGCAGGCGCCAAAGGUGGCUUUAAAAAUUACGUUAGAUCUGCAACUGUUGUGAGUCUAAGGGCGCGAUUCAACGAAGGCUGAAUGGGACCCGGAGACCGAACGUUCCGGAGUCUUACCCCUUCACUUCGAAGUGAAGUGCCUCGAAGGCCCUGCGGGAAGAGGGAAUUGCAAUUAAGAGCAGAUUUGAAGCUUCAUCUCAUUUUGUCUCUGCAGCCAGAAAAUAAACUAUCGUAAAGCAUCCUACUGCGGGACACUGAGGUUUGCUUUUUGUUUCUAGGUUUAUUUAUUUAUUUUCCAGGCUGGCUGCAAGGCAACUUGAACAAAAUCUGGCUGCGCUCGGACUGGGGCGGCUCUUUCGUCUCUCCAGGUUUUUCGCGUCUCUCUACUUUCAGUGACACGACAACCAACGAUGGCAGGCCGCAGCUGCACUGCUGGAAGCGCCCAGUUCCGCAGGCGGGAGGGCCGGAGGCGGCCACGCAUUUCCACUCCCGGGGCGACAGGCUUCCGAAAGUUCACGUCCUCCUUCCAGAGUCCUUGGGUGCGGGCUGGGGCGAGAGGGGAGGGGGCGCGGUGACUGUCCCUCCAAGGAGCUGUCUUCC